CAGAGGUGUCAAACGUUGUCCGGAAUUAUUGGGCGUAAAGGGCGCGUAGGCGGCCGGGUAAGUGAGAUGUGAAAGCUCUGGGCUCAACCCAGGAAUUGCAUUUCAUACUGCUCGGCUCGAGAUUGGUAGAGGAUGGCGGAAUUCCAGGUGUAGCGGUGAAAUGCGUAGAUAUCUGGAGGAACACCUGUGGCGAAGGCGGCUAUCUGGUCCAAUUCUGACGCUGAGGCGCGAAAGGUAGGGGAGCAAACAGGAUUAGAUACCCUGGUAGUCCUACCCGUAAACGAUGAGUACUAGGUGUUGGAGGUAUUGACCCCUUCAGUGCCGUAGCUAACGCAAUAAGUACUCCGCCUGGGAACUACGGUCGCAAGACUG
This 372-nucleotide ribosomal RNA is filed under the name uncultured organism. Its description in RNAcentral is "bacterial SSU rRNA". It matches the Rfam family "Bacterial small subunit ribosomal RNA", at positions 526 to 896 of the family's 1533-position model. The record is from RNAcentral.